Molecule: long non-coding RNA, 257 nt
Organism: Xyrauchen texanus (razorback sucker)
Lineage: Eukaryota; Metazoa; Chordata; Actinopteri; Cypriniformes; Catostomidae
Exons: 3
Source: RefSeq, a predicted model, not a curated record
GUUAGGUUUAGGGAUUGUGUUAGGUUUAGGGGCUGGGUUAGGUUUAGGGAUUGUGUUAGGGUUAGGGGAUGUGUUAGGUUUAGGGGCUGUGUUAGGUUUAGGGGCUGUGUUAGGUUUAGGGGCUGUUUUAGGGUUAGGGGUUGUGUUAGGUUUAGGGGUUGUGUUAGGGUUGGGGAUUGUGUUUGGUUUAGGGGUUGUGUUAGGUUUAUGGAUUGUGUUAGGGUUAGGGGAUGUGUUAGGUUUAGGGAUUGUGUUAG